RNAcentral lists this ribosomal RNA (253 nucleotides) under uncultured bacterium. RNAcentral's name for it is "partial 16S ribosomal RNA". It matches the Rfam family "Bacterial small subunit ribosomal RNA", at positions 524 to 776 of the family's 1533-position model. The record is from RNAcentral.
UACGUAGGGUGCAAGCGUUAUCCGGAAUUAUUGGGCGUAAAGAGCUCGUAGGCGGUUUGUCGCGUCUGCUGUGAAAACUGGAGGCUCAACCUCCAGCCUGCAGUGGGUACGGGCAGACUAGAGUGCGGUAGGGGAGACUGGAAUUCCUGGUGUAGCGGUGAAAUGCGCAGAUAUCAGGAGGAACACCGGUGGCGAAGGCGGGUCUCUGGGCCGAAACUGACGCUGAGGAGCGAAAGCGUGGGGAGCAAACAGG